This 500-nucleotide ribosomal RNA is filed under the name uncultured bacterium. RNAcentral's name for it is "bacterial SSU rRNA". It matches the Rfam family "Bacterial small subunit ribosomal RNA", at positions 8 to 507 of the family's 1533-position model. The record is from RNAcentral.
AGAGUUUGAUCCUGGCUCAGAUUGAACGCUGGCGGCAUGCCUUACACAUGCAAGUCGAACGGCAGCGCGGGGCAACCUGGCGGCGAGUGGCGAACGGGUGAGUAAUAUAUCGGAACGUGCCCUGGAGUGGGGGAUAACGUAGCGAAAGUUACGCUAAUACCGCAUACGAUCUGAAGAUGAAAGCAGGGGACCUUCGGGCCUUGUGCUCCUGGAGCGGCCGAUAUCUGAUUAGCUAGUUGGUGGGGUAAAAGCCUACCAAGGCGACGAUCAGUAGCUGGUCUGAGAGGACGACCAGCCACACUGGAACUGAGACACGGUCCAGACUCCUACGGGAGGCAGCAGUGGGAAUUUUGGACAAUGGGGCAACCCUGAUCCAGCAAUGCCGCGUGAGUGAAGAAGGCCUUCGGGUUGUAAAGCUCUUUUGUCAGGGAAGAAAAGGUCGUGGCUAAUAUCCACGACUGCUGACGGUACCUGAAGAAUAAGCACCGGCUAACUACGUA